UACGUAGGGGGCAAGCGUUGUCCGGAUUUAUUGGGCGUAAAGAGCGUGUAGGCGGCCUGAAAGGUCAGCUGUGAAAACUCGAGGCUCAACCUCGAGACGUCGGUUGAAACCAUCUGGCUAGAGUCCGGAAGAGGAGAGUGGAAUUCCCGGUGUAGCGGUGAAAUGCGCAGAUAUCAGGAGGAACACCAGUGGCGAAGGCGGUGCUCUGGGCCGGAACUGACGCUGAGGAGCGAAAGCGUGGGGAGCAAACAGG
This 253-nucleotide ribosomal RNA is filed under the name uncultured bacterium. RNAcentral describes it as "partial 16S ribosomal RNA". It matches the Rfam family "Bacterial small subunit ribosomal RNA", at positions 524 to 776 of the family's 1533-position model. The record is from RNAcentral.